GACGAACGCUGGCGGCGUGCUUAACACAUGCAAGUCGAACGGAAAGGCCUGCUUUCCCUUGUGGAUUGCGGGUACUCGAGUGGCGAACGGGUGAGUAACACGUGAGUGAUCUGCCCCCAACUUGGGUAUAAGCCUGGGAAACUGGGUCUAAUUCCCGAUAGGACUGCAGGGUGGUGCCUGUGGUGGAAAACGAUUUUCUAGUGGUUGGGGAUGAGCUCGCGGCCUAUCAGCUUGUUGGUGGGGUAAUGGCCUACCAAGGCGGCGACGGGUAGCCGGCCUGGGAGGGUGGACGGCCACAUUGGGACUGAGAUACGGCCCAGACUCCUACGGGAGGCAGCAGUGGGGAAUAUUGCACAAUGGGCGGAGGCCUGAUGCAGCGACGCCGCGUGGGGGAUGACGGGCUUCGGGUUGUAAACUCCUUUCGACCGCGAGGAAGCCACCUGGUUGGAAGGGUGGUGACGGUAGUGGUAGAAGAAGCACCGGCUAACUACGUG
Molecule: ribosomal RNA, 494 nt
Filed under: uncultured bacterium
Lineage: Bacteria
Description: partial 16S ribosomal RNA
Rfam family: Bacterial small subunit ribosomal RNA
Source: RNAcentral